CCUGCCACGGUAUCACUGAUAUAUUAGUCCCGGUGUUCAUUCAUGAGUUCGACGUUGACGUUGAUCAUGAAAGAAAGAGCACCACCACCGCUGACCGUCGAUCCUUAUAUCUCUUUAAUCUUCCCUCCGUUGACAUAGUUUGCUGCUGAUGUAAUUGGACAUGUAGUGUUUGUUGCACAAGACUACACUGGGGUAGGAGAGAUGGAACAUGGAGAGAAAUCCAUGAAUGAUGCUGAAGCCGGAAAAUGACUGCAGUAGCUGGUUGCCAGUGCAGAAUUUGAAACUCAAUCUGAAGGGUUGAAUAAUAUGCAUAGAGAACAAAAAGAUGUUGUUACAUCAACUGACUCCGUAUGCAUCUCGUGUUUCUAUUUUGUGUGGUUAAGCUUAAUUUGUUUCCUAUGCAUAUCCCAUAGCUUGAAAAAGUGCAACCUACUUUUUAUUUUUUUAUAAGGAUACACUGAUGGCCUACCUUUCACGUGAGAGCAUGGCUCUGCCAACCUAGACUCUCUUCUGUUGUGUGUGUCUGCAUUUUGUUAUGUUUUUUUUCCACUUGUUACAUAUGCUGGUGGAAUAACACAAAUGGUGACAAUGAGGUAAGAA
Molecule: long non-coding RNA, 600 nt
Organism: Cornus florida
Lineage: Eukaryota; Viridiplantae; Streptophyta; Magnoliopsida; Cornales; Cornaceae
Exons: 3
Source: RefSeq, a predicted model, not a curated record